This 375-nucleotide ribosomal RNA is filed under the name Anodonta cygnea. RNAcentral's name for it is "partial 16S ribosomal RNA". It matches the Rfam family "Bacterial large subunit ribosomal RNA", at positions 1925 to 2541 of the family's 2925-position model. The record is from RNAcentral. Lineage: Eukaryota; Metazoa; Mollusca; Bivalvia; Unionida; Unionidae.
AAACGGCCGCGUUAGCGUGAGCGUGCUAAGGUAGCGUAAUAAUUAGCCUUUUAAUUGGAGGCCAGUGAAUGGCAAGACUAGGAACACCUUUACUUUGUAUACAAAAAAAACUUUUCGUCUAAGCGAAAAGACUUAGAUGAUAAAGGUAGACGAAAAGACCCCGCGGAACUUUACCUUUUCCUGUACUCCCGUNAUCCACCUAAAAGUACUUGAGGUUUGAUUGGGGCAAUCUUGGAACCAACAAAGCUUCCAACUUUUUAAAAACCUAUAUAAAAUUUACUAAAGACCAAAAAGAAGUUACCCCGGGGAUAACAGCGUAAUCCAACUAAAGAGUACAUAUCGAAAGUUGGGUUGCGACCUCGAUGUUGGCUUAAG